GUUUCUUAAGUUUGACGUGAAAGCUCCCGGCUUAACUGAGAGAGGUCGUUGAAAACUGGGAGACUUGAGGCAAUGAGAGGGGUGUAGAAUUCCAGGUGUAGUGGUGGAAUGCGUAGAUAUCUGGAGGAAUACCAGUGGCGAAAGCGGCACCCUAGCGUUGUUCUGACGCUCAUGUGCGAAAGUGUGGGGAGCGAACGGGAUUAGAUACUCCGGUAGUCCACGCCGUAAACGAUGACCACUAGGUGUAGGUGAUGUGAAAGUUAUCUGUACCGAAGCCAACGCGUUAAGUGUUCCGCCUGGGGAGUACGGCCGCAAGGCUAAAACUCAAAGGAAUUGACGGGGGCCCGCACAAGCAGCGGAGCGUGUGGUUUAAUUCGAUGCUACACGAAGAACCUUACCCAGGCUUGACAUACAGGUGGUAGGGAUCCGAAAGGUGACCGACCCGCAAGGGAGCCUGUACAGGUGUUGCAUGGCUGUCGUUAGCUCGUGUCGUGAGAUGUUCGGUUAAGUCCGCUAACGAGCGCAACCCUCGCUGCGUGUUACAAGU
This 547-nucleotide ribosomal RNA is filed under the name uncultured Chloroflexota bacterium. Its description in RNAcentral is "bacterial SSU rRNA". It matches the Rfam family "Bacterial small subunit ribosomal RNA", at positions 578 to 1122 of the family's 1533-position model. The record is from RNAcentral. Lineage: Bacteria; Bacillati; Chloroflexota.